CCUACGGGAGGCAGCAGUGAGGAAUAUUGGUCAAUGGGCGAGAGCCUGAACCAGCGAAGUCGCGUGAGGGAUGAAGGAUCUAUGGUUUGUAAACUUCUUUUAUAUGGGAGUAAAGUGAGGAACGUGUUCCUUUUUGUAUGUACCAUAUGAAUAAGCAUCGGCUAACUCCGUGCCAGCAGCCGCGGUAAUACGGAGGAUGCGAGCGUUAUCCGGAUGUAUUGGGGUUAGAGGGUGCGUAGGUGGUGAAUUCAGUCAACGGUGAAAGUUUGGGGCUCAACCAUUAAAUUCACGUGGAAACUGCUUGACUUGAGUAUAGUUGAGGUAGGCGGAAUGCGUGGUGUAGCGGUGAAAUGCAUAGAUAUCACGCAGAACUCCGAUUGCGAAGGCAGCUUACUAAGCUAUAACUGACACUGAAGCACGAAAGCGUGGGGAUCGAACAGGAUUAGAUACCCGGGUAGUC
This 460-nucleotide ribosomal RNA is filed under the name uncultured bacterium. RNAcentral's name for it is "partial 16S ribosomal RNA". It matches the Rfam family "Bacterial small subunit ribosomal RNA", at positions 338 to 795 of the family's 1533-position model. The record is from RNAcentral.